CCAGGGACUGACAUUGCUUCAUGACUCCUGGCUGCUGUGGAAAAGAAUUUUUCCCCUCCUUCCGAUAGCAAGACAUAGAAAGAGAGAUCCAUGCAGCUCCUCAUGUGAGUGAGAAAUUAAUUCAGCUGUUCCGGAACAAGAGUGAAUUCACCUUUUUGGCCACUGUACAGCAGAAGCCAUCCACUUCAGGAGUGAUGCUGUCCAUUCGAGGACUGGAGCACAGCUAUUUUGAACUGGAGAGCAGCGGCCUGAGGGAUGAGAUUCGGUAUCACUACGUACACAAUGGGAAGCCAAGGACAGAGGCACUUCCUUACCGGAUGGCAGAUGGACGAUGGCACAAGGUUGCACUGUCAGUUAGCGCCUCUCACCUCCUGCUCCAUGUCGACUGUAACAGGAUUUAUGAGCGUGUGAUAGACCCUCCAGAUACCAACCUUCCCCCAGGAAUCAAUUUAUGGCUUGGCCAGCGCAACCAAAAGCAUGGCUUAUUCAAAGGGAUCAUCCAAGAUGGGAAGAUCAUCUUUAUGCCGAAUGGAUAUAUAACACAGUGUCCAAAUCU
This 556-nucleotide small RNA is filed under the name Pongo abelii (Sumatran orangutan). Its description in RNAcentral is "processed transcript". Lineage: Eukaryota; Metazoa; Chordata; Mammalia; Primates; Hominidae. The record is from RNAcentral.